CAUGCCUACUCAAGUGUGUGAGUGUGAGAGUUUGGGCGUGUAUACGAGUGCGUCUGAGUGUUGGUGUUUACGUUUGACGGGGGUCUGCGUGCCCUACGCUGCACAGCUCGCGGGGGGCAACAGAAAAGACAGCUGUGUGUUUGAGAGACGCAGAAAACGUAAGAAAGCCAGAGUGGAGGGCCAACAGGCAUGCCAGUCAAGACGGUCACUUUUGGAAAGAAGUGAUGAGUUAGAAACAGACGUCAUAGCUUGGACCGAGCCUCCCUGGGAGGGAGCUUGAGUAUCUUGCAGAGCUGUGAUAUUGUAGGAUGUCAGCCAGGAUUAACAGUGAUCUAAAUCCAGGUGUAACUCUGACCACACUUCCUGUUGCAUCACUGAACACUUUAGCUGUCUAUAAGAAAGGGCCGCACAGGUAUUACCACUAUUAAUGUGAGCUUUUGUAAAAAUCAAAACAAUGCUUUCUCACUCAGCAUGUGAACAUUUUUCACACCCUCAUGUUUGGUUCAUGCAGCCAGGUAAAACUCAAGCUACCAGUUUGCAAGUUUAGAGUUGAAGAUUGUGUGUUUUAUGUUUGAGUCACAGAAAUAAGAGCUAAACUUAUUCCUCUGUAUUGCUUGUCAUACCAUGUCCUUAUCAAAUACUGUAAAAUAGUAUUGCACUUCAAAUUUUUCCUAACACUAAGAGAAAAACAGACAAAUUAUUAUGAGUGUAAGGUUCAGAUGUUCAUUGCAAAGUCAAGCCUCUAGAAACCCACUAUGUUUAUUUGGAACAGCAACCUGCACUCUUCAUAUUGCAUUAUCAUAAUGCAGAAAGUGCAAAUGUCACUUAUUUCUAGCAUCAUUCAGCUCUAGUGUGUGACUGAAUCUACAGCAAUCAUUCCAAAUAGCAUGAAAUCCUCUUUUUAAUCUUCCCAUAUGUUUUUAAAGUCAUCUUGACUUAUGCACAAUCUAAAAACAUGCAACAAUGCAACACCUCUUCAUCUUGUAUUAAAGUAUUUUUGUCGUAUUUGUCACCUACCUCAAUAUUGUUAAGAUCAUAUAAACUUUUAUUGAUCCCCCAUUGUGGGAAGUUUGCUUUUUACAGCAGCUCACUAGAGGCCAAAAGUAAUGAGCAAUAAAUAAAAAUAGGGGUGUGUAUUGGCAAGAAUCUGGCGAUAUGAUAUUUAUUGCGAUACAGGGGUGCUGAUACUGAUAUAUUGCAAUAUAUUGCGAUACUAUGAGCAAGGUGAUAUAUUGCGAUAUUUUUAUAAUUUAACAUAUAUACAAUACUUAACAAAUUUAUUA
Long non-coding RNA from Cheilinus undulatus (humphead wrasse), 1283 nucleotides. RefSeq lists it as uncharacterized. The transcript is spliced from 4 exons. Lineage: Eukaryota; Metazoa; Chordata; Actinopteri; Labriformes; Labridae. The record is from RefSeq and is a predicted model, not a curated record.